GCGGGUAUAGUAUAUCGGCUAUUAUGCGGCCUUCCCAAGGCCGAGAGACGGGUUCGACUCCCGUUAUCCGCUCCA
This 75-nucleotide transfer RNA is filed under the name Candidatus Peregrinibacteria bacterium. RNAcentral describes it as "tRNA-Gly". It matches the Rfam family "tRNA". From Rfam's summary of the family: Transfer RNA (tRNA) molecules are approximately 80 nucleotides in length. Their secondary structure includes four short double-helical elements and three loops (D, anti-codon, and T loops). The record is from RNAcentral. Lineage: Bacteria; Candidatus Peregrinibacteriota.